UCCGACUCGUGCAGCUCCCGACAUCCAACUUCCUACCAGUACUAAGCCACGUAUUAUCCUUGAAUUCUUCACACUACUUGUUGGUGUCACAUUAGUUACUUCUAUGUCUUUGAAUGUUGUAGCUCCAUCGUUAGAUUCCAAAGAUCUUCGCUCAUACUUCCUUCCGAGUUCACGCUUCUACCACGUUCUUACCACUGAACUCCUUGGUCCACUUCGGUUCUCAACCGUAGUACCCUGCCUACCAUACGUGACACUGAGUUGAUCAGACUCAAUACACGAUGAUUUCAGAGUAAACAGUCCAGACUCCAAACCGUACUCCUUAAGAUUGAAUUUUAAUGAUCCGCGGCAAGGUCCGAUACUGAAUCGACCUGCUCUGAUACCAAUUAUAACACCCCAUAUUGAUUUAUN
This 408-nucleotide long non-coding RNA is filed under the name Trifolium pratense (red clover). RNAcentral describes it as "long non-coding RNA (TPRA_LNC003136)". Lineage: Eukaryota; Viridiplantae; Streptophyta; Magnoliopsida; Fabales; Fabaceae. The record is from RNAcentral.